This 82-nucleotide transfer RNA is filed under the name Dreissena polymorpha. Its description in RNAcentral is "transfer RNA serine (anticodon UGA)". It matches the Rfam family "tRNA". From Rfam's summary of the family: Transfer RNA (tRNA) molecules are approximately 80 nucleotides in length. Lineage: Eukaryota; Metazoa; Mollusca; Bivalvia; Myida; Dreissenidae. The record is from Rfam by way of RNAcentral.
GUUGCCGUGGCCGAGUGGUUAAGGCGAUAGACUUGAAAUCUUUUGGGAUUUUCCCGCACAGGUUCGAAUCCUGCCUACAACA